AGAGUUUGAUCAUGGCUCAGAACGUACGCUGGCGGCACGCCUUAUACAUGCAAGUCGAACGAAGUAGCAAUACUUAGUGGCAGACGGGUGAGUAACAUGUAGGUAUCUUCCCUUUGGUGAGGAAUAACACGAGGAAACUUGUGCUAAUACCUCAUAAGUCUUUACGGAGAAAGCUUUAUGCGCCAUUGGAUGAGCCUGCACUUGAUUAGUUUGUUGGUGGGGUAAUGGCCCACCAAGACUGUGAUCAAUAGCUGAUCUGAGAGGAUGAUCAGCCACAUUGGGACUGAGACACGGCCCAAACUCCUACGGGAGGCAGCAGUAGGGAAUAUUGCACAAUGGAGGAAACUCUGAUGCAGCGAUGCCGCGUGAGUGAAGAAGGCCUUUGGGUUGUAAAGCUCUUUCGUCGGGGAAGAAAAUGACUGUACCCGAAUAAGAAGGUCCGGCUAACUUCGUGCCAGCAGCCGCGGUAAUACGAAGGGACCUAGCGUAGUUCGGAAUUACUGGGCUUAAAGAGUUCGUAGGUUGUUAAAAAAGUUGGUGGUGAAAUCCCAGAGCUCAACUCUGGAACUGCCAUCAAAACUUUUUAGCUAGAGUAUGAUAGAGGAAAGCAGAAUUUCUAGUGUAGAGGUGAAAUUCGUAGAUAUUAGAAAGAAUACCAAUUGCGAAGGCAGCUUUCUGGAUCAUUACUGACGCUGAGGAACGAAAGCAUGGGUAGCAAACAGGAUUAGAUACCCUGGUAGUCCACGCCGUAAACGAUGAGAACUAGCCGUUGGAUCUUAGAUUCAGUGGUACAGCUAACGCAUUAAGUUCUCCGCCUGGGGGAGUACGGACGCAAGGCUAAAACUCAAAUGAAUUGACGGGGGCCCGCACAAGCGGUGGAGCAUGUGG
Molecule: ribosomal RNA, 888 nt
Filed under: uncultured bacterium
Lineage: Bacteria
Description: bacterial SSU rRNA
Rfam family: Bacterial small subunit ribosomal RNA
Source: RNAcentral